CGGACGGGUGAGUAACGCGUAGGCAACCUGCCCUUUGCAGAGGGAUAGCCAUUGGAAACGAUGAUUAAAACCUCAUAAUACUAAAUAGUCACAUGGCUGUUUGGUCAAAGAUUUAUCGGCAAAGGAUGGGCCUGCGUCUGAUUAGCUAGUUGGUGGGGUAACGGCCUACCAAGGCGACGAUCAGUAGCCGACCUGAGAGGGUGAUCGGCCACAUUGGAACUGAGACACGGUCCAAACUCCUACGGGAGGCAGCAG
This 255-nucleotide ribosomal RNA is filed under the name uncultured bacterium. Its description in RNAcentral is "partial 16S ribosomal RNA". It matches the Rfam family "Bacterial small subunit ribosomal RNA", at positions 99 to 354 of the family's 1533-position model. The record is from RNAcentral.